CCGCCAAACCCUAGCGUCCCCUUCUUCCCGCUAGGGUUUAAGAUGCAAAACAUUCUCAAAGAAAACAGCCGUAUAUAUAUGUUCUUUACGUAUCCUUUUUGCAGCGAUGAAAUUUAAUUUUGCUCUCUGCAACCUAUAUUCUAACCCCCAAAGCUCCAAUCUUUCUUUUCUCAGACAUGGUCGAGUGUAUACCUGAACCCACCAUUGUUGAAGAAGACCGCCACAAUCAAGCUUCAAAGUCUAAAAACUUGAAAGACCCACUUGAAGAUUCAAAAUUGACUGAUUUAUCGUUUGCUGAUUCGUUUCUCGAUUUUGACUCCAUAAAGGAGUUUUUUGAAGAGAGCUCAGUCUCAGAUACAGUUAGUUUAGAUAAGAGUGAUUUCGUGAAUAUUGACAAGGGCAUGGAGAUUGGUAAUAAUGGCUUGUCUAUUGAACCACAGUCCAAUCCAAGUUUUGAAGAGCUGAGGCAAAUUGUCAAUUGCUCUAAGCCAAUUGUAGAUAGUUUAGAUAAGAGUGAUUUCGGGAAGAUUGACAAGGGUAUGGAGAUGGGUGAUAAAGGGUUGUCUAUUGAACCACAGUCGAACCCAAGUUUUGAAGAGUUGAGGCAAAUUGUCAAUGGCUCGAAGGCAAUUGUAGAUGGCUCUGGCUGUGUUGAAGAGGAGAUGGGCAGGGUUAGUUUGGUUGGUGUGUCAAGUCCCAUUUGUAGUGAUGAGAAAACAGUGGGUAAUGAAACAGAGAUGGGAAAGGUAAGUUUAGUUGCCGGGUCGAGCUCUGUGUUUCCUGAUGGGAGUGUUGUCAACAGUGGCGUAGCAAGUGAUGAGAUGGAUAUUGGCAAUGUUAAUUUGCCCACUGGGUUGAGCACAGAUGCUGGUACUGGAAGCCAUGUGAAUAAUGUGGUAAACAGUGACAAGGAUGAUAGGGGAAGUGAUUCUGAAUCUGCUAGUGAAAGCAGUUCAUGCUCUGAUAGCAGUAGCGAUGGCGAUGAGGAAGAGGAGGGAAAGAUGAGCGAUGAGGAAGAGAAUGAGGAGGAAGAAGUGGAGGGUGAGAUUGAAGAAGGUGAGAUAAGGAAUGUUAAUGGAGAGGAGAUGGUUGGUAAGAAUGAUGAUUAUGAAGAGGAAGAGGACGAUGGAAACAAGAUGGUUGAAUGGAGCGAGACUGAAUUUGAUGAUAUUGAUGAGGAAGAGGAAGGGGAUGCCGUUGUUUUGAGAGGACCUAUUAGGUCAAAGAAUGAGCUUACGGUUCUCCCUCCUAUUCCAUCAGUGGAUGCCACAUUGCAACCGCAUCAUCAGAUGCAGCCCGUUGGAGCUGUUUUGUCGAUUAUAAGUGCCCAAGUCAUUGUGGAAGGGGUGGAGAAGCACAACCCUCUUAAUGAGGGUUCAAUCCUUUGGAUAACUGAAAAUAGAUCUCCAUUAGGGAUUGUAGAUGAGAUAUUUGGUCCAGUUCAGUACCCCUACUACAUGGUGAGAUACAAUUCUGAAAGUGAAGUCCCUGCUGGAAUCUGUCAAGGAACUUUGAUUUCUUUUGUUUCCGAGUUUGCCAAUCAUAUUCUCGGCGAUAAGAAUCUUUACAAGAAAGGUUAUGAUGCGUCUGGUGAGAAUGAUGAAGAGUUGUCAGAUGAUGCAGAGUUCUCAGAUGAUGAAAAGGAGGCAGAGUACAGGAGAAUGCAAAAAAUGUCAAAGAGGGGCAUGAAUUACCAGACAUUUGGAAACAAGAAAACCAAUAGAAAGAAGGUUAAUCAUAGGAAUAGCAAUUGGAGGAAUAAUACACCUUCAGGGCAGCAAACAUUGAUGGGUGUGGGUCAGUCAAUACCAAAUCAGAACCAGCAUAAUAAAUCUUCAAUAGGAGCAUCAAUGAAUAAGUGUUCAUCUUCUACCAUAGGACAUGAUUUUCAUAGUGGAAGUGGCUUUUUCCCACCAUUUUCAUCAAUGGCACCAACCAAGGGUGUUUUCCCAUCUACAGAUGGAGUCUGGGUAAAUGGAUUGCCUUGUUCUCAGUCACAGAAUGCAGUCAUUCCUGGUGGAAUUACAGCUAAUAAUAUAUCGUGGCCUGGACAGAAUCAACUACUGCAUCCCUGUCAGAUGCCAUUUCAGCAACAGUUCAAUCCUAGUCAAGGGUCACUUCCUAGUGGUGUAGUACCAGGUGGACAGAUGAUUAUUUAUGCUGGACCUUCACCUUGGCCUGGUGUUAUUGGUGAAAAUUGCUUUAAUGGAGCAGCAUUUGGGAUGGGCUUCCAGGUUCAACCUGCUCACCCAACUAUGAGUACCAUGAAUGUGGAAGGCCAAGGAAUGAUGUCCAGUGGACUGCACAUUGAACCACCUGGUGUUAUUCCCGAAAACGUUCAGCGAUUUAAUUUGGGUGCCUCUCCAAGCCGAGGAAGGAAACCAUAUCGUCAUCGAGGUCGUGGUCGUUUUGCAGGUGGGAGAGGUUGGCAGUCCUCAAAAUGAAGUUCAUUAGCUUUAUCAUACCACUGUGAAUGCAACUUUGGAUGGGACCAGUAGAUUUUUGGAAUUUGCCUAGUAUUUGUGCGUUAUUUUGCUUUGGUAAUUUGCAUGUUCUCAGUUCCAACUGCUUGAGGUGGUGAAAU
RNAcentral lists this unclassified non-coding RNA (2584 nucleotides) under Hevea brasiliensis (rubber tree). The record is from RNAcentral. Lineage: Eukaryota; Viridiplantae; Streptophyta; Magnoliopsida; Malpighiales; Euphorbiaceae.